RNAcentral lists this ribosomal RNA (465 nucleotides) under Colletotrichum magnum. RNAcentral's name for it is "eukaryotic LSU rRNA". It matches the Rfam family "Eukaryotic large subunit ribosomal RNA", at positions 118 to 591 of the family's 3401-position model. The record is from RNAcentral. Lineage: Eukaryota; Fungi; Ascomycota; Sordariomycetes; Glomerellales; Glomerellaceae.
AAAUCUGGCCCCCCGGGUCCGAGUUGUAAUUUGCAGAGGAUGCUUUUGGCUGCGGUGCCUUCCGAGUUCCCUGGAACGGGACGCCAUAGAGGGUGAGAGCCCCGUACGGUUGGACACCAAGCCUGUGUAAAGCUCCUUCGACGAGUCGAGUAGUUUGGGAAUGCUGCUCAAAAUGGGAGGUAUAUUUCUUCUAAAGCUAAAUACCGGCCAGAGACCGAUAGCGCACAAGUAGAGUGAUCGAAAGAUGAAAAGCACUUUGAAAAGAGGGUUAAACAGCACGUGAAAUUGUUAAAAGGGAAGCGCUUGUGACCAGACUUGCGCCCGGUGAAUCACCCAGCUCUCGCGGCUGGGGCACUUUGCCGGCUCAGGCCAGCAUCAGCUCGCCGUCGGGGACAAAAGCUUCGGGAACGUAGCUCUCUUCGGGGAGUGUUAUAGCCCGCUGCACAAUACCCUUCGGCGGGCUGA